GACGUAGGGCGCGAGCGUUGUCCGGAUUUAUUGGGCGUAAAGAGCUCGUAGGCGGCUCGUUGCGUCGGCUGUGAAAACCCGCAGCUCAACUGUGGGCCUGCAGCCGAUACGGGCGGGCUGGAGUUCGGUAGGGGAGACUGGAAUUCCUGGUGUAGCGGUGAAAUGCGCAGAUAUCAGGAGGAACACCAGCGGCGAAGGCGCUGCUCUGGGCCGGUACUGACGCUGAGGAGCGAAAGCGUGGGGAGCGAACAGG
This 253-nucleotide ribosomal RNA is filed under the name uncultured bacterium. RNAcentral describes it as "partial 16S ribosomal RNA". It matches the Rfam family "Bacterial small subunit ribosomal RNA", at positions 524 to 776 of the family's 1533-position model. The record is from RNAcentral.